AGCAUCAUUCGUGGGAUUGUCUUCCUCCAAUUGAAGGACAUUAGAGCAGCUUGCUUUGUCAAACAUUGGAUUUUUUGGGCUUUGCUCCAAUUGAGGAAUUGGAGGUAUUGGAGUACUUGGAGUAAUUGGAGUCAUUGGUGUAGUUGGAGUUUGACCGAGCAAGUUGGGAUCAAAGUUGACUGAAUUGUUUCAACAAAAUUUCCCUCUAUGCUCUGAUUGCCUCCAAAACACUUUGCUUUAC
RNAcentral lists this long non-coding RNA (241 nucleotides) under Prunus persica (peach). RNAcentral's name for it is "long non-coding RNA (PPER_LNC000591)". The record is from RNAcentral. Lineage: Eukaryota; Viridiplantae; Streptophyta; Magnoliopsida; Rosales; Rosaceae.